This 1564-nucleotide ribosomal RNA is filed under the name Salmonella enterica subsp. enterica serovar Brandenburg. RNAcentral's name for it is "partial 23S ribosomal RNA". It matches the Rfam family "Bacterial large subunit ribosomal RNA", at positions 620 to 2167 of the family's 2925-position model. Lineage: Bacteria; Pseudomonadati; Pseudomonadota; Gammaproteobacteria; Enterobacterales; Enterobacteriaceae. The record is from RNAcentral.
UCAGCGACUUAUAUUCUGUAGCAAGGUUAACCGAAUAGGGGAGCCGGAGGGAAACCGAGUCUUAAUUGGGCGUUAAGUUGCAGGGUAUAGACCCGAAACCCGGUGAUCUAGCCAUGGGCAGGUUGAAGGUUGGGUAACACUAACUGGAGGACCGAACCGACUAAUGUUGAAAAAUUAGCGGAUGACCUGUGGCUGGGGGUGAAAGGCCAAUCAAACCGGGAGAUAGCUGGUUCUCCCCGAAAGCUAUUUAGGUAGCGCCUCGUGAAUUCAUCUCCGGGGGUAGAGCACUGUUUCGGCUAGGGGGCCAUCCCGGCUUACCAACCCGAUGCAAACUGCGAAUACCGGAGAAUGUUAUCACGGGAGACACACGGCGGGUGCUAACGUCCGUCGUGAAGAGGGAAACAACCCAGACCGCCAGCUAAGGUCCCAAAGUCAUGGUUAAGUGGGAAACGAUGUGGGAAGGCCCAGACAGCCAGGAUGUUGGCUUAGAAGCAGCCAUCAUUUAAAGAAAGCGUAAUAGCUCACUGGUCGAGUCGGCCUGCGCGGAAGAUGUAACGGGGCUAAACCAUGCACCGAAGCUGCGGCAGCGACGCUGAUGCGUUGUUGGGUAGGGGAGCGUUCUGUAAGCCUGCGAAGGUGGCCUGUGAGGGUUGCUGGAGGUAUCAGAAGUGCGAAUGCUGACAUAAGUAACGAUAAAGCGGGUGAAAAGCCCGCUCGCCGGAAGACCAAGGGUUCCUGUCCAACGUUAAUCGGGGCAGGGUGAGUCGACCCCUAAGGCGAGGCCGAAAGGCGUAGUCGAUGGGAAACGGGUUAAUAUUCCCGUACUUGGUGUUACUGCGAAGGGGGGACGGAGAAGGCUAUGUUGGCCGGGCGACGGUUGUCCCGGUUUAAGCGUGUAGGUGUGUGUUCCAGGUAAAUCCGGUUCACUUUAACACUGAGGCGUGAUGACGAGGCACUACGGUGCUGAAGCAACAAAUGCCCUGCUUCCAGGAAAAGCCUCUAAGCAUCAGGUAACAUCAAAUCGUACCCCAAACCGACACAGGUGGUCAGGUAGAGAAUACCAAGGCGCUUGAGAGAACUCGGGUGAAGGAACUAGGCAAAAUGGUGCCGUAACUUCGGGAGAAGGCACGCUGACACGUAGGUGAAGUGAUUUACUCAUGGAGCUGAAGUCAGUCGAAGAUACCAGCUGGCUGCAACUGUUUAUUAAAAACACAGCACUGUGCAAACACGAAAGUGGACGUAUACGGUGUGACGCCUGCCCGGUGCCGGAAGGUUAAUUGAUGGGGUCAGCGCAAGCGAAGCUCCUGAUCGAAGCCCCGGUAAACGGCGGCCGUAACUAUAACGGUCCUAAGGUAGCGAAAUUCCUUGUCGGGUAAGUUCCGACCUGCACGAAUGGCGUAAUGAUGGCCAGGCUGUCUCCACCCGAGACUCAGUGAAAUUGAACUCGCUGUGAAGAUGCAGUGUACCCGCGGCAAGACGGAAAGACCCCGUGAACCUUUACUAUAGCUUGACACUGAACAUUGAGCCUUGAUGUGUAGGAUAGGUGGGAGGCUUUGAAGUGUGG